GCUGGGCAUGGUGGUGCAUACCUGUAAUCCCAGUGAUUAGGGAGGCUGAGGCAGGAGGUCUGCAAGUUCAAGGACAGGCUCAGCAAUUUAUCAAGGUCCUAAGCAAACUGACAAAACCCUGUCUCAU
This 127-nucleotide small RNA is filed under the name Marmota monax (woodchuck). The record is from RNAcentral. Lineage: Eukaryota; Metazoa; Chordata; Mammalia; Rodentia; Sciuridae.